ACGGAAGGCAGCAGUGGGGAAUAUUGCACAAUGGGGGAAACCCUGAUGCAGCGACGCCGCGUGAGUGAUGAAGUAUUUCGGUAUGUAAAGCUCUAUCAGCAGGGAAGAUAAUGACGGUACCUGACUAAGAAGCACCGGCUAAAUACGUGCCAGCAGCCGCGGUAAUACGUAUGGUGCAAGCGUUAUCCGGAUUUACUGGGUGUAAAGGGUGCGUAGGUGGUAUGGCAAGUCAGAAGUGAAAACACGGGGCUCAACCCCGUGACUGCUUUUGAAACUGUCAAGCUUGAGUACAGGAGAGGAAAGCGGAAUUCCUAGUGUAGCGGUGAAAUGCGUAGAUAUUAGGAGGAACACCAGUGGCGAAGGCGGCUUUCUGGACUGUAACUGACACUGAGGCACGAAAGCGUGGGGAGCAAACAGGAUUAGAUACCCUGGUA
RNAcentral lists this ribosomal RNA (434 nucleotides) under uncultured Lachnospiraceae bacterium. RNAcentral describes it as "partial 16S ribosomal RNA". It matches the Rfam family "Bacterial small subunit ribosomal RNA", at positions 341 to 792 of the family's 1533-position model. Lineage: Bacteria; Bacillati; Bacillota; Clostridia; Lachnospirales; Lachnospiraceae. The record is from RNAcentral.